This 87-nucleotide non-coding RNA is filed under the name Paenibacillus sp. Its description in RNAcentral is "c-di-GMP sequence". It matches the Rfam family "c-di-GMP-I riboswitch aptamer". Rfam says of the family: GEMM was predicted in a large-scale screen for bacterial structured RNA regulatory elements. Genes associated with GEMM are involved in a diverse array of functions, including chemotaxis regulation, signal transduction, secretion and chitin. RNAcentral also lists the same sequence under 1 other name. The record is from RNAcentral. Lineage: Bacteria; Bacillati; Bacillota; Bacilli; Caryophanales; Paenibacillaceae.
ACUAUAUACCUGCAAAUCCGUCGAAAGGCGCGAGACGCAAAGCUAUAGGGACUACUUCUCACGGGGAAAUGUCAGCCAGUUGCACAG